Molecule: long non-coding RNA, 743 nt
Filed under: Oryctolagus cuniculus (rabbit)
Lineage: Eukaryota; Metazoa; Chordata; Mammalia; Lagomorpha; Leporidae
Description: lncRNA (ENSOCUG00000035368.1)
Source: RNAcentral
UGGAUGUGUAUAAAGGUUUGAUGUAAAAGAUACUCAUUUCAUCACUGCCUCUAAUAGGGAACAAUCAGCAACAAUGUAAGGGUCAAUAAUGAAGUCCAAGGUUGAUCUGCGUGUAUGGAUGCACCAGCCAGCAUCCAUUCUGAUUGGCUGGUGGCUGUGAGGCACAUUUGAUACAUAUUUUAGAUACCACUCACUCAGGGAAUACUUUGUACCAACCAGAUAACCAUGGAGAAGACCAUUUAUGAAGUUGACAAGCUGCAUACAAAACCAGAUGAGAAAACAGAGGUUCUAGCCAGAUGGGUCAUCUGAGAUAUGAACGCAGGCUGCGUGAGCCCAGAGCUUCCCUGGACUCUUCACUUCCGUGCCCCCAGUCUCGGCCAGCUCUCUGCUACUGAUGGCAACACAAACUAUUACAUCAGGUCACUCUGAGGACUACAUGAAGCAGACCUACCUGGAGAGCGUCUUCCCUUUGAGAAACCGUCUCUCCCAUCUCUAAACCGUCCUCGACACUGCCCGGCGAAACCGCCAACAGCCAGCAGAGUCCGAGCCGCGGAGCGCUGGCUUCCUGCUUCUCAAGCCCGCUAAACGCCCUCACCUGCUCCGGGACUCGGGAGCGCGUGCUAUCUUAUUCCUCUAAGCAUUCAACGUGAAACAAGGCCUUCCUUGGCAGGUGGCCACGGAGAAGUAUAUUUUUACAGCUUCUGUAACCGAGGCUCACGGCACCCAGAAUUUCUGCAGCGCAC